Non-coding RNA from Prunus avium (sweet cherry), 286 nucleotides. NCBI's taxonomy places the organism in Eukaryota, Viridiplantae, Streptophyta, Magnoliopsida, Rosales, Rosaceae. The record is from RefSeq and is a predicted model, not a curated record.
GGUUUAUGGGAACAGCCUUUGAGUCAUUUCUUGUUGCUGUGGUGGUCCCUGACAGAAAGGCAUUGGAGGAUUGGGCAGCAGAGCAUCAUUUGACCGAUGAUUUUAAAUCAUUAUGUCAAAACCUGAAGGCAAGAAAGUACAUUUUGGAUGAGCUCAAUAGUGUUGGUCAGAAGCAGCAACUUCGAGGUUUUGAGCUGUUAAAAGCAGUUCACUUGGAACCAAAUCCCUUUGACACGGAGAGGGAUCUUAUAACUCCAACAUUCAAACUGAAGAGACCACACCUACU